This 674-nucleotide long non-coding RNA is filed under the name Mus musculus (house mouse). Its description in RNAcentral is "glutathione synthase, opposite strand 2". Lineage: Eukaryota; Metazoa; Chordata; Mammalia; Rodentia; Muridae. The record is from RNAcentral.
GGAUUCUGCUGACUAAAUGCAGCGCUUUGAAUUCCCUCAUGUCUGCCUCUACUGCCAACCCACUCCUCUUCCUGGGCACUUUCAGAGUAGUAAAGGCAUCUUAAGUGACUAAAACACACCAGCCUCUCUCUCUUACUUUCAGAUCUUGGAUGAUGACGCUUUCCUGCUUUCCUCGCUUUCCUGCUUUCCUCGUGGCUUAAAGGUUCUCCCACUGAGCUACAUCCCCAGCCUCUGUACCCCCAACUCUUGAUUCUGUUUUGGAAGCCAUCGCCGGAUUUCUCUGUCCAGAACUCUGGCUCUAGCCUCGCUAACAGUGUCCGAGCUGGGAACCGGCGAUCUGGAAAUCUAGGUUCAGCACGCCCAGCACAAGCCCCUCACUGGACACAAGUUUCCCGGUGCUCGCCGCGUUCCCAGCCACCGCGUCAUCUGCCCGCUCGCCGCGUUCUAAUCGCUCUCAGACCCCUCCCUCACCGCUCUCCUCCCAAGGAAACUUGACCCUCGCCAGCCGCCGUCGCGAAGCCCCGACUUACUCGCUCGUUGUCCAGCUGCUCGCCAAGCUCAAACUCCGCACGCCGUUACCCGGGCUCGGGGGGCGGGGCUUCGGUACGACCCAGUGCGCCUGCGCAGACCGCCCCGCAAGGCUAAAGAGGAGGGGUGGGGAAGGAGCCCUGUGU